RNAcentral lists this unclassified non-coding RNA (253 nucleotides) under uncultured Moraxellaceae bacterium. RNAcentral's name for it is "contains 16S-23S intergenic spacer region". It matches the Rfam family "Bacterial small subunit ribosomal RNA", at positions 524 to 776 of the family's 1533-position model. The record is from RNAcentral. Lineage: Bacteria; Pseudomonadati; Pseudomonadota; Gammaproteobacteria; Moraxellales; Moraxellaceae.
UACAGAGGGUGCGAGCGUUAAUCGGAUUUACUGGGCGUAAAGCGUGCGUAGGCGGCUUUUUAAGUCGGAUGUGAAAUCCCCGAGCUUAACUUGGGAAUUGCAUUCGAUACUGGGAAGCUAGAGUAUGGGAGAGGAUGGUAGAAUUCCAGGUGUAGCGGUGAAAUGCGUAGAGAUCUGGAGGAAUACCGAUGGCGAAGGCAGCCAUCUGGCCUAAUACUGACGCUGAGGGACGAAAGCUAGGGUCACGAACCGG